Molecule: ribosomal RNA, 253 nt
Filed under: uncultured bacterium
Lineage: Bacteria
Description: partial 16S ribosomal RNA
Rfam family: Bacterial small subunit ribosomal RNA
Source: RNAcentral
UACGUAGGUGGCGAGCGUUGUCCGGAUUUACUGGGCGUAAAGGGAGCGUAGGCGGACUUUUAAGUGAGAUGUGAAAUACUCGGGCUCAACUUGAGUGCUGCAUUUCAAACUGGAAGUCUAGAAUGCAGGAGAGGAGAAUGGAAUUCCUAGUGUAGCGGUGAAAUGCGUAGAGAUUAGGAAGAACACCAGUGGCGAAGGCGAUUCUCUGGACUGUAACUGACGCUGAGGCUCGAAAGCGUGGGGAGCAAACAGG